RNAcentral lists this ribosomal RNA (47 nucleotides) under Peltigera gallowayi. RNAcentral's name for it is "partial 28S ribosomal RNA". The record is from RNAcentral. Lineage: Eukaryota; Fungi; Ascomycota; Lecanoromycetes; Peltigerales; Peltigeraceae.
AAUGACCGCGGAUCAGGUGAGGAUACCCGCUGAAUUUNAGCAUAUCA